UGGAGCCCAGGGCAGGGUUCACAGAGCUAUUUUCAGUUCUCUUGCAGGAUCUCCUUCCCAGCCUUCAGAAAUUGCCGGUCUGGGAGUUGGGGGCAAGGAGAAGAUCCUGCCCAGCAUCUGCAGCCCAUGAGAACUUCCUGCCACUGAUUGACAUGGUUGAAGUGCAUGAAUUAGACCUUUACGAGAAGCACAGUUUUGUCUUCAGUUUCCUCUCCCCCCACCCGGAAUGGCCUGAGCCGAAGCCAGCUCCCUCCGAGAAGUCAUUACCGCCUGACUUGCGUUUGAUAUUUAGACACCUUGGUCACAACAUCUUGCAUUCUCUCGGGAUGCUGAUUUCUAACUGCUCUUUGGCCUUUCCUGCAUUGGUCCUCCUCAGGCAGGGGAUCCCUGCUCUUCUAUAUUAGUGAGAAAACCAAGGCUCAGAGAAACUGUGGAUUUUCUAAGGAUGCUGGCUCCCCGUCCCCUGUCCACCAUGAGUCAAAGCAAUGUGAGUCCCUCACCAGAUGCAACUGCCCAGUCUUGGACUUUCCAGUGACCAGAAUCAUGAGCCAAAUAAACCUCUUUUCUUUAUGAA
Molecule: long non-coding RNA, 574 nt
Filed under: Homo sapiens (human)
Lineage: Eukaryota; Metazoa; Chordata; Mammalia; Primates; Hominidae
Description: HSALNT0381865
Source: RNAcentral